Molecule: ribosomal RNA, 402 nt
Filed under: Triticum aestivum (bread wheat)
Lineage: Eukaryota; Viridiplantae; Streptophyta; Magnoliopsida; Poales; Poaceae
Description: partial small subunit ribosomal RNA
Source: RNAcentral
AUGGAUUCCAGUGAGGAAUACAUUUAUGAUGAGGAUGAGCAUGGAAAUUCAGUUAGGAUGAAAUCAAGAUUUCCCAGAUUUGAUAGCAAGGCUGCAAUUCCUAUCUCCAGCCUAGGCAUGACAUUUAGGGGAAGAGGUCAAUUCAAGAGGGCUGUUGUGAAGUAUGUUCUAGCUAUGAAGAGGCAUAUUUCCUUUGUAAAAGAUGAGGCUGGUAGGAUUAGGGAAAAAUGUUCUUGGCCAAAGUGUCCAUGGUUGAUAUAUGCUGCAAAGAGGAGCUCAAAUGAAUGGUUUCAGGUCAUUACACUUGUAGACAACCAUAUAUGCCCACGGAGGAGAGACAACAGGUUGGUAACUGCCCCUAGAAUUGCACAUAAGUAUGAGAGAAUCAUGAAGGCCAAUCCA